UGGGGAAUCUUGCGCAAUGGGCGAAAGCCUGACGCAGCAACGCCGCGUGGGGGAUGAAGGCUCUCGGGUUGUAAACCCCUUUCAGCAGGGACGCGGUACCUGCAGAAGAAGCCCCGGCUAACUACGUGCCAGCAGCCGCGGUAACACGUAGGGGGCAAGCGUUGUCCGGAUUUAUUGGGCGUAAAGAGCUCGUAGGUGGCUGAGUAAGUCGGAUGUUAAAUCCCCAGGCUCAACCUGGGACACCACCCGAUACUGCUCGGCUAGAGUCCGGUAGGGGAGCGUGGAAUUCCUGGUGUAGCGGUGAAAUGCGCAGAUAUCAGGGGGAACACCAACGGCAAAGGCGGCGCUCUGGGCCGGUACUGACACUGAGGAGCGAAAGCGUGGGUAGCAAACAGGAUAGAUACCCGAGUAGU
Molecule: ribosomal RNA, 413 nt
Filed under: uncultured bacterium
Lineage: Bacteria
Description: bacterial SSU rRNA
Rfam family: Bacterial small subunit ribosomal RNA
Source: RNAcentral